Molecule: ribosomal RNA, 254 nt
Filed under: uncultured bacterium
Lineage: Bacteria
Description: partial 16S ribosomal RNA
Rfam family: Bacterial small subunit ribosomal RNA
Source: RNAcentral
GAUCAUGGCUCAGGAUGAACGCUGGCGGCGUGCUUAACACAUGCAAGUCGAACGGGAAACCUUUUAUUGAAGCUUCGGCAGAUUUAAAUUGUUUCUAGUGGCGGACGGGUGAGUAACGCGUGGGUAACCUGCCCUAUACAGGGGGAUAACAACCAGAAAUGGUUGCUAAUACCGCAUAAGCGCACAGGACCGCAUGGUCCGGUGUGAAAAACUCCAGUGGUAUAGGAUGGACCCGCGUUGGAUUAGCCAGUUGG